CGUGGAUCUGUCCUCACCCUGUAGGAGCCCAGACCCUGAGGGAGCCCUUGCUUGGGACCCUGUGUGUGGGAGGAGGAGGCUGGUUUCCGGUUGGCAGGUUGGCAGAACUGAGAGACCAUGCGAGUUUUCCCUUUGGCCUGAUGAAAGUAUUUCAGGGUGACAGGGAGGUGGUGUUUGCUCACCACUGUGAAUGAACUAAACGCCCCUGGACUGCGCGCGUGGAAAGGUUUAAGUCACAGUGUGGAUUGGCCUCGCACACGCACACAUAAGCACGAGACCAGAACGUCUUGUUUUCCAGGAAGCAAGUUUAUGGUGGUGGGAAAUGAGGUGGAAUCAAAGUGAACCAGAGCCGGCCUGCACUGGUCCGACGGGGACGAAUCUGUGUUCGCGAUACAGUGGAAAAUCAUUAGAUAAGUGACAGGAAAGCGCUGUUAUGCCCGAGCUGUAGGGAUGCGUCCCCGUGGGAUGGCGCUAAAUGCACACGAAGAACCGCGGAGCCCGCGCACCCUGUGAUUCCAUCUGCAAAACGAGAGAAACGGCAACCGAUCCGCUGUGGGGGGCGAUGGCUCAGGAUCAAGGGGCGCGGGAUCGAGUAAUGAGGGGAUGGGCCCGUUUCGGGGUGAUGGGCUCAUUCCGCAUAACGAUCGGUGGCGGUGUGGCCCCUCCAGGGAGUUGAUGGGAAAAGGGAUUCGCCGGUGCGUGAAAGGGGCUUCACGACGUGACGGCGUGGCCACAGAGGGUCAGCAGCUGGCCCCAAGCAGAGAUGAGAAGAGAGGUGGCCUGGUUCCUAAACAGAGUGCAGGACGGGAAAGAGUGCAGCGGUGUGGGGGUGGAAGCCGCGUCCCGCAGGAAGAGCCCCCCCCACGCCCCGUUUCCUCUGGAAACCCGAGGUCCCUGCAGCCCGGGGUCCGCCUCUUCCAGCCCACGCGUGGACGCUCCGUCCUCUGGUGCCACCGUGUGGGAGCAAGACGGAACAUCAGGGGCGAGGACGGGCUGGGUCCCAGCUCCUCCGGAAGACUUACGGCUCUCACUGUGGGACUUCUGCGCCUCUUGGGAGUUUGAGUACUUGAAGAGGGGCGGAACCCCAGAAAGCCUGCGCUCUCUGAUAAGAUGGGAAAACAUGAGGGAGCGGAAGAGGCUCAAAGUGGCCUCUGGUCAGCCUAAGAUGCCAGCAUUUGGAGUCCAUUCCACCCUCCGUGGUGAAAUAAGAACGGAUGGUGCAUCUCUUCUUUAACUGCUGCCUCCUGAUUGGGGCAGUGGUUGGGGUUUUAUCCGGAUUGAAGAAGAUCAUUAGCAACUACCUAUGAAAUGGCCACAAUCCUGUUGGUGAAAAAUCUUUGAAACAUAUUGAUGGAGCAUGGUAACAACAAACAAGCAAGUAAAAGGAGGAAAAGAGGCAAAGAAAGAAAGAAUCCAAGGUAGGAUAGUGGACUCCAUGAAUCCCAUGAACUCUGGGGGGAGGGGCAUAGGGGAGUCCAG
Molecule: long non-coding RNA, 1479 nt
Filed under: Fukomys damarensis (Damara mole-rat)
Lineage: Eukaryota; Metazoa; Chordata; Mammalia; Rodentia; Bathyergidae
Description: lncRNA (ENSFDAG00000031813.1)
Source: RNAcentral